CAGGCCUAGGGGGGCAGCAGUCGGGAAUAUUGCGCAAUGGAGGAAACUCUGACGCAGUGACGCCGCGUGCAGGAAGAAGGUUUUCGGAUUGUAAACUGCUUUAGACAGGGAAGAUAAUGACAGUACCUGUAGAAUAAGCUCCGGCUAACUACGUGCCAGCAGCCGCGGUAAUACGUAGGGAGCAAGCGUUAUCCGGAUUUAUUGGGUUUAAAGGGUGCGUAGGCGGGACGGUAAGUCAGCGGUAAAAAUGCGGAGCUCAACUCCGUCGAGCCGUUGAAACUGUCGUUCUUGAGUGAGCGAGAAGG
This 305-nucleotide ribosomal RNA is filed under the name uncultured bacterium. RNAcentral's name for it is "bacterial SSU rRNA". It matches the Rfam family "Bacterial small subunit ribosomal RNA", at positions 332 to 658 of the family's 1533-position model. The record is from RNAcentral.